RNAcentral lists this unclassified non-coding RNA (421 nucleotides) under soil metagenome. RNAcentral's name for it is "partial contains 5.8S ribosomal RNA, internal transcribed spacer 2, and large subunit ribosomal RNA". The stretch from base 1 to 120 matches the Rfam family "5.8S ribosomal RNA", at positions 35 to 154 of the family's 154-position model. The record is from RNAcentral.
GAUGAAGAACGUAGCGAAAUGCGAUACGUAAUGUGAAUUGCAGAAUUCAGUGAAUCAUCGAAUCUUUGAACGCAUAUUGCGCUCUUUGGUAUUCCGAAGAGCAUGCUUGUUUGAGUAUCAGUAAACACCUCAACCUCUUCUUGAUUUUUCAAAAGGAGGGUGGACUUGAGCUAUCCCAACAACCUUUACCGGUCGGCGGGCGGCUUGAAAUGCAGGUGCAGCUGGACUUUUAUCUGAGCUAAAAGCAUAUCUAUUUAGUCCUCGUCAAACAGGAUUAUUACUUUUGCUGCAGCUAACAUAAAGGAUAAUUGUCCUCUUUGCUGACUGAUGCAGGAUUUUACGACACUUUAUGUGUUGUUCAACUCGAUCACAAAUCAAGUAAGACUACCCGCUGAACUUAAGCAUAUCAAUAAGCGGAGGA